This 76-nucleotide transfer RNA is filed under the name Pseudomonas fluorescens. Its description in RNAcentral is "tRNA-Thr". It matches the Rfam family "tRNA". Rfam says of the family: Transfer RNA (tRNA) molecules are approximately 80 nucleotides in length. Their secondary structure includes four short double-helical elements and three loops (D, anti-codon, and T loops). Lineage: Bacteria; Pseudomonadati; Pseudomonadota; Gammaproteobacteria; Pseudomonadales; Pseudomonadaceae. The record is from RNAcentral. RNAcentral also lists the same sequence under 2 other names.
GCCGCUAUAGCUCAGCUGGUAGAGCAAUCGCCUUGUAAGCGAUGGGCCACAGGUUCAAGCCCUGUUGGCGGCACCA